Molecule: ribosomal RNA, 488 nt
Filed under: uncultured bacterium
Lineage: Bacteria
Description: partial 16S ribosomal RNA
Rfam family: Bacterial small subunit ribosomal RNA
Source: RNAcentral
GACGAACGCUGGCGGCGUGCUUAACACAUGCAAGUCGAACGGAAAGGCCCUGCUUUUGUGGGGUGCUCGAGUGGCGAACGGGUGAGUAACACGUGAGUAACCUGCCCUUGACUUUGGGAUAACUUCAGGAAACUGGGGCUAAUACCGGAUAGGAGCUCCUGCUGCAUGGUGGGGGUUGGAAAGUUUCGGCGGUUGGGGAUGGACUCGCGGCUUAUCAGCUUGUUGGUGAGGUAGUGGCUUACAAAGGCUUUGACGGGUAGCCGGCGUGAGAGGGUGAGCGGCCAAACUGGAAGGGAGAGAGGGGCCAGAAUGAUACGGGAGGCAGCAGUAGGGAAUGGUCCGCAAUGGGCGAUAGAGUGACGGAGAAACGCCGCGUGAGUGAUGAAGGUCUUGGGAGCGGAAAAAUCUGUUAAGAGGGAAGAAAAAAGGUGUAAGUAACUAUGCACGGCUUGACGGUACGUAAUCAGAAAGCAACGGCUAACUACGUG